RNAcentral lists this ribosomal RNA (443 nucleotides) under uncultured bacterium. RNAcentral's name for it is "partial 16S ribosomal RNA". It matches the Rfam family "Bacterial small subunit ribosomal RNA", at positions 338 to 795 of the family's 1533-position model. The record is from RNAcentral.
CCUACGGGAGGCAGCAGUGGGGAAUAUUGGGCAAUGGGCGCAAGCCUGACCCAGCAACGCCGCGUGAAGGAAGAAGGUGCUCGGGUUGUAAACUUCUUUUAUCAGGGACGAAACAAAUGACGCGAGCUGAUGAAUAAGCCACGGCUAACUACGUGCCAGCGGCCGCGGUAAUACGGAGGUGGCAAGCGUUCUCCGGAUUUACUGGGUGUAAAGGGUGUGUAGGCGGGAGAGAAAGGCAGACGUGAAAGUCCCGGGCUCAACCCUGGAACUGCGGUUGAAACUGUUCGUCUUGAGGGGUGGAGAGGCAGGCGGAAUUCGGUGUGUAGCGGUGAAAUGCGUAGAUAUACGGAGGAACACCAGUGGCGAAGGCGGCAUGCUGGACAUUAACUGACGCUGAGGCGCGAAAGCGUGGGGAGCAAACAGGAUUAGAUACCCUAGUAGUC